RNAcentral lists this ribosomal RNA (293 nucleotides) under uncultured bacterium. RNAcentral describes it as "partial 16S ribosomal RNA". It matches the Rfam family "Bacterial small subunit ribosomal RNA", at positions 505 to 796 of the family's 1533-position model. The record is from RNAcentral.
GUGCCAGCCGCCGCGGUAAAACGUAGGAGGCGAGCGUUAUCCGGAUUUACUGGGUGUAAAGCGCGAGCAGGCGGCCUGAUAAGUGGUGUGUGAAAGCGCCCUGGCUCAACCGGGCGAGGACAUGCCAGACUGUCGGGCUGGAGGUAGGUAGAGGCGAGUGGAAUUCCGGGUGUAGUGGUGAAAUGCGUAGAGAUCCGGAGGAACACCAGUGGCGAAGGCGACUCGCUGGGCCUAAUCUGACGCUCAGACGCGAAAGCAUGGGGAGCGAACGGGAUUAGAUACCCGCGUAGUCC